This 608-nucleotide ribosomal RNA is filed under the name Epinephelus chlorostigma (brownspotted grouper). RNAcentral describes it as "partial 16S ribosomal RNA". It matches the Rfam family "Bacterial large subunit ribosomal RNA", at positions 1796 to 2608 of the family's 2925-position model. The record is from RNAcentral. Lineage: Eukaryota; Metazoa; Chordata; Actinopteri; Perciformes; Serranidae.
UCGCCUGUUUUUCAAAAACAUCGCCUCUUGCUAAUCCGAAAGUAUAAGAGGUCCCGCCUGCCCUGUGACUAUAUGUUCAACGGCCGCGGUAUUUUGACCGUGCGAAGGUAGCGCAAUCACUUGUCUUUUAAAUGGGGACCUGUAUGAAUGGCAUAACGAGGGCUUGACUGUCUCCUCUUUCAAGUCAAUGAAAUUGAUCUCCCCGUGCAGAAGCGGGGAUAGACACAUAAGACGAGAAGACCCUAUGGAGCUUUAGACACUAAAGCAGAUCAGCAUUAAUACCCUGAACAUAGGGCACGAAUAUACUGAACCCUGCCCUAAUGUCUUAGGUUGGGGCGACCGCGGAGAAAUAAAAAACCCCCGCAAGGACCGAAUGUACUACAUUCACAACCAAGAGCGACAGCUCUAAUUAACAGAUAUUUCUGACCAAUAAGAUCCGGCAACGCCGAUUAAUGAACCAAGUUACCCUAGGGAUAACAGCGCAAUCUCCUCUUAGAGCCCGUAUCAACGAGGAGGUUUACGACCUCGAUGUUGGAUCAGGACAUCCUAAUGGUGCAGCCGCUAUUAAGGGUUCGUUUGUUCAACGAUUAAAGUCCUACGUGAUCUGA